UCCAAUGGACCCUCUGGUGAAUAGGCAC
This 28-nucleotide non-coding RNA is filed under the name Rattus norvegicus (Norway rat). Lineage: Eukaryota; Metazoa; Chordata; Mammalia; Rodentia; Muridae. The record is from RNAcentral.